AUAGAGGCCUACCAUGGUGGUAACGGGUAACGGGGUGUUAGGGCACGACACCGGAGAGGGAGCCUGAGAAACGGCUACCACAUCCAAGGAUGGCAGCAGGCGCGCAAAUUACCCAAUCCCGACACGGGGAGGUAGUGACAAUAAAUAACAAUACGGGGUUCUUUAGGAUCUCGUAAUUGGAAUGAGUACAAUUUAAAUCUCUUAACGAGGAACAAUUGGAGGGCAAGUCUGGUGCCAGCAGCCGCGGUAAUUCCAGCUCCAAUAGCGUAUAUUAAAGUUGUUGCAGUUAAAAAGCUCGUAGUUGAAUUUCGGGGUUAGUAGGUUGGUCAUGCCUCUGGUAUGUACUGGUCUCACUGAUUCCUCCUUCCUUAUGAACCGUAAUGCCAUUAAUUUGGUGUUGCGGGGAAUUUGGACUGUUACUUUGAAAAAAUUAGAGUGUUUAAAGCAAGCUAACGCUUGAAUACAUUAGCAUGGAAUAAUGAAAUAGGACGUUCGAUCUUAUUUUGUUGGUUUCUAGGAUUGACGUAAUGAUUAAUAGGGAUAGUUGGGGGCAUUAGUAUUCAAUUGUCAGAGGUGAAAUUCUUGGAUUUAUUGAAGACUAACUACUGCGAAAGCAUUUGCCAAGGAUGUUUUCAUUAAUCAAGAACGAAAGUUAGGGGAUCGAAGACGAUCAGAUACCGUCGUAG
RNAcentral lists this ribosomal RNA (686 nucleotides) under uncultured fungus. RNAcentral's name for it is "SSU rRNA". It matches the Rfam family "Eukaryotic small subunit ribosomal RNA", at positions 333 to 1023 of the family's 1831-position model. The record is from RNAcentral. Lineage: Eukaryota; Fungi.